GAGAUAGAUUGGUGCCUUCGGGAACAUUGAGACAGGUGCUGCAUGGCUGUCGUCAGCUCGUGUCGUGAGAUGUUGAGUUAAGUCCCGUAACGAGCGCAACCCUUGUCCUUAGUUACAGCACGUUAUGGUGGGCACUCUAAGGAGACUGCCGGUGACAAACCGGAGGAAGGUGGGAUGACGUCAAGUCAUCAUGGCCCUUACGGCCUGGGCUACACACGUGCUACAAUGGUCGGUACAGAGGGUUGCCAAGCCGCGAGGUGGAGCUAAUCCCACAAAACCGAUCGUAGUCCGGAUCGCAGUCUGCAACUCGACUGCGUGAAGUCGGAAUCACUAGUAAUCGCGAAUCGGAAUGUCGCGGUGAAUACGUUCCCGGGCCUUGUACACACCGA
This 389-nucleotide ribosomal RNA is filed under the name uncultured bacterium. RNAcentral's name for it is "bacterial SSU rRNA". It matches the Rfam family "Bacterial small subunit ribosomal RNA", at positions 1003 to 1393 of the family's 1533-position model. The record is from RNAcentral.